UACGAAGGGGGCUAGCGUUGCUCGGAAUUACUGGGCGUAAAGCGCACGUAGGCGGCUUUCUAAGUCGGGGGUGAAAUCCUGGAGCUCAACUCCAGAACUGCCUUCGAUACUGGAGAGCUCGAGUCCGGGAGAGGUGAGUGGAACUGCGAGUGUAGAGGUGAAAUUCGUAGAUAUUCGCAAGAACACCAGUGGCGAAGGCGGCUCACUGGCCCGGCACUGACGCUGAGGUGCGAAAGCGUGGGGAGCAAACAGG
RNAcentral lists this ribosomal RNA (253 nucleotides) under uncultured bacterium. RNAcentral's name for it is "partial 16S ribosomal RNA". It matches the Rfam family "Bacterial small subunit ribosomal RNA", at positions 524 to 776 of the family's 1533-position model. The record is from RNAcentral.